GUACACGCUGUGACUAGCAUAUCAAUAAGCGGAGGAAAAGAAACUAACAAGGAUUCCCCUAGUAACGGCGAGUGAAGCGGGAAGAGCUCAAAUUUGAAAUCUUAAAGGGUUUCCCUUUACGAAUUGUAGUUUAAAGAAGUGUUUUCUGUUGAGGUUUUGGUAAAAGUUCUUUGGAAUAGGACAUCAUAGAGGGUGAGAAUCCCGUAUUUGACCUUUACUUUCAACUUUGUGAUACACUUUCAAAGAGUCGGAUUGUUUGGGAAUGCAGUCCAAAAUGGGUGGUAAAUUUCAUCUAAAGCUAAAUAUUGGCGAGAGACCGAUAGCGAACAAGUACCGUGAGGGAAAGACGAAAAGAACUUUGAAAAGAGAGUUAAACAGUACGUGAAAUUGUCAAAAGGGAAGCGUUUGACACCAGUGUUGUUUUUCUGAAAAUCAAUUAAAGAACUGUUUAUGCUAAGUUGUUUAGACUUUAUCAGCUAACUGUUUAGUUUUGAGCUUUUCUUUAAUGCACUUUUCAGUUAACAAGUCAACAUCAAUUUCUUUUGCUGUAAAAAAGCUUGAGGAAGGUGGCUUGAGAUUCGUCUUAAGUGUUUAUAGCCUCUUGCCUAUGCAGUCGGAGAGAUUGAGGUCUGCAGCGUAGAUCCUUCGGGGCUAAAUGCAUUUGUGCUAAGUUAUAGCAUUUUAUAGACAACUUGUUGACUAUGAUUUGUCUUGUAGCUUACUCGCUUAUGUUAUUUUACCUACGCUUAGGAUGUUGAAGUCAUCGUAUCGCGC
RNAcentral lists this ribosomal RNA (774 nucleotides) under uncultured Neocallimastigales. Its description in RNAcentral is "partial large subunit ribosomal RNA". It matches the Rfam family "Eukaryotic large subunit ribosomal RNA", at positions 22 to 645 of the family's 3401-position model. The record is from RNAcentral. Lineage: Eukaryota; Fungi; Neocallimastigomycota; Neocallimastigomycetes; Neocallimastigales.